This 284-nucleotide ribosomal RNA is filed under the name Lomentospora prolificans. RNAcentral describes it as "Scedosporium prolificans Eukaryotic small subunit ribosomal RNA". It matches the Rfam family "Eukaryotic small subunit ribosomal RNA", at positions 1 to 289 of the family's 1831-position model. The record is from Rfam by way of RNAcentral. Lineage: Eukaryota; Fungi; Ascomycota; Sordariomycetes; Microascales; Microascaceae.
UACCUGGUUGAUUCUGCCAGUAGUCAUAUGCUUGUCUCAAAGAUUAAGCCAUGCAUGUCUAAGUAUAAGCAAUUAUACCGCGAAACUGCGAAUGGCUCAUUAUAUAAGUUAUCGUUUAUUUGAUAGCACAUUACUACAUGGAUAACUGUGGUAAUUCUAGAGCUAAUACAUGCUAAAAAUCCCGACUUCGGAAGGGAUGUAUUUAUUAGAUUAAAAGCCAACGCCCUUCGGGGCUUCCUGGUGAUUCAUAAUAACUUUUCGAAUCGCAUGGCCUUGCGCCGGCG